RNAcentral lists this ribosomal RNA (84 nucleotides) under uncultured Glomus. RNAcentral's name for it is "partial 18S ribosomal RNA". The stretch from base 1 to 54 matches the Rfam family "Eukaryotic small subunit ribosomal RNA", at positions 1778 to 1831 of the family's 1831-position model. Lineage: Eukaryota; Fungi; Glomeromycota; Glomeromycetes; Glomerales; Glomeraceae. The record is from RNAcentral.
GGAAGUAAAAGUCGUAACAAGGUUUCCGUAGGUGAACCUGCGGAAGGAUCAUUACCGAUUUUAGCGAACCUAACCUUUGGUUAU